RNAcentral lists this long non-coding RNA (3613 nucleotides) under Marmota monax (woodchuck). The record is from RNAcentral. Lineage: Eukaryota; Metazoa; Chordata; Mammalia; Rodentia; Sciuridae.
AGAGAGGCUUUUGUUGUCACAAGAUCAUAUAAGUAAAUAUCUAUGUAUUUUAUGCUUUUAUUUUUAUCCCCUAAUUUUUAUGGGAAAAAAAAAAACGGAAGCCUUCAUUUGUUGUUGUUUUCAAAUCAGUGGGAAGAAGGAACUAGAGAGUAGAAAACAAGCAGCUUAUGUCUGUCUUUCCCUCCCUCUCUUUUUCUUUCUCACACACUCACACACUAACAGAUGUGCAAUGACAUUUUAAUCGUAUAUGCCAAAAGUAAGACAUUUGGGUAUGCAUACCAGAUUGGGAAAUAAAAUGUUUUGAUUGUUGUUACUGCUGUUAUUUUGGUGCUAAAGAUUGAACCCAGGGCUUUGGACAGAAAAUACAGCUUUCUACCUCAUAAUCCUGUGGCCAGCCAUAACCCAUAGAGUUCAGGAAGCCCCCAUGGUCAUGAGAACUGCCAGUGGGUAGAAACCUCUAUUUUAAAGGAUUAUAAAAUAUUUUAAAAUGAUAAUUAUGUUGAACAUGGAAUUAAAAAUGUACCUACAUAAGUUAAGGGAAAAUUAAUACAUAGCUAACAUUUUAUAAGAAUUUUCUCCUUACAAAAUUAGGUGUGUGUGUGUGUGUGUGUGUGUGUGUACACAAUAAUAAUUCUAAAAUUAUAUUCUACUCCACCAACACUACCAUAUUUUUUUAAGGAGAUUAUUUUAAUCCUCUUGAUAGUCUUAUACUUUUAAAAAUCUCUUGUUCUUUCUGUAUAGGCUACAUAGAUAGGAGUAAUGAUGAUAGGAUGUAUAAUAUGAUUGCUUAAGAGCAUUUAUAAUUUAUUAAAUAAAUUUAUCAUGAAAUGUAAUAUCCUUGAAAAAGAAUGACCCUUAUCUAAUUUAGGAAUAAAUGUUAAAGAUCUCAUAAUGAAAUAAGAAUUCGAAAUUCUAGGGGAUACCGCGUUACCACCUAUGGCCCCUUUCUCCCUCACGGGAGAAGUCUAUGUUACCUCUUUUUAAAUAAACUCUGCUUCAUAUGUUUGCCUCCGCAUGCUUCUCUAAUGUUCCAGGUUCAACAUGUGGGGAAGCAGGACUCGUCACCGAUAACUGGCAGUAUCAUAUUUGGAGGUUCCACUGAGGUCUACCCCGAGGGGUGAAGAUUGACCUGUUUUAUAAAUUCAGUGGAAGUGGAUUCAAAUCUGUUAAUUCAGAGGGGAUGAAGAUUGUAAUUUUUUUGGCGGGCACAACAUCUUUGUUUGUAUGUGGUGCUGAGAUUGAACCCGAGCCGCACGCAUGCCAGGCGAGCAUGCUACCGCUUGAGCCACAUCCCCAGCCUCAAAGUGGCAAAUUUUUUUAGGCACUCAAUAAAAUCUACACAUAUGGUGAAUGUUCUCAACUGCAGAAAAGAGUCCCACUAAGAAGAUAUUGUCUGAUUACAAUGGACCCUAAGUGUUCACAAGAAAGAUAGCAGCCCUUGUGUGAGUGGUAAAAGGCAAAUCAACAUCUCUUCCACAUUGAGAUAUUUCUACAUGCUUCAGACCUCAAUAUUCUUCAUUGAGUGAGUGAUCAAAUUUUGUCAACUGCCCAUAGGCCUUUUCCUGAUCUGGAAGAAGGUAAAUUAAAAAGAAGUAUCCUCCAUAAGAACCUCAAAAAUUGUGAAAAUUAAGUACCACUCUACUUUCUCCUCUUUUGAUACUUCCCACUGUCCCUCAGAUUUUGUGCUUACCUUAUAUAAAUAUAAGCUUUGAUGUCAUAUUAUUGAGAUGUUUUUAAUGCAAGGUUAUUGUGUUAUAAAAAUAAUUUGAUAAUUUAAAUAAAACUAUUAAUAGUUUUUUAAAAAAAAAAAAAAAGAAAUUCUAUAUUCUUACCUAAAUAUAAAACCUGUUCCUGGGACUGGUACUUGAUCUUAAUCCAUAAUCAUUUGGACAGAGUUCCAUAUUUAGUCUCCCUAUACCUUAUUUUUGCAUUAUAAAUGCCUAAAUCUUAGAAUUCAUUCUGCAAGCCUAUUAAUGACUCCUUGGAUGAUUCCCUUGGAAUUAUAGAAUAUUUUCUUUGUGAACCAUUCAUAUUGACUUUUUAAUUUUUAUUUUUGUUGUUAUAUACAUAUAUACACUAUAUAUUUACAUAAAUGUGUAUUUAUACUAGGCACAUGCUCUAUCACUGGGUUAUUGUCCCCCUGCCCUAUCUGGUAUUAUUUCUUAUGAUAUGUAACAUAUAUACAGAGACAUGUUUAGAACAGAUAUGUACAUUUUGGUGGAAAUUAUAAAGCAAACACCUAUAUAAGUCACCAUCUAGGUCUUGAAACUCGUGAGGACUCCCAAAAGUCCCUACUUUUUCUCUACUCAUGGAAAGUUUAUGAUGGUUGUGCCUUGAUUUUACUGUUCAUCCCAAAACACAGUAAAUAAAUGGGUUCAUAUUGUAUGUUUUUUUCUAUUCAGCAUAUGUUUAUGCCAAUAACUCAGGCAUUUGUGUUGUAGUGUAUUUAUUUUCAUGAUAUAGCCUUGUAUUUCUGUACCAUAAUUACUGUUAAUCAAUACUUUUAUGGUUUCCAGGAUACACUUUGUGUUUAUUUUUAUUUUAUAUUUUUGUAGGGAUGGGUUCAAACCCAGGGCCUUUUACUUUACCACUGAGGUCUCAUCUCCUGUGAGCUUUUGUUUUUGUUGUGAACACUGAUGUGUGAACAUUUUUAUACAAGUGUCAGGGUAAAUAUGUUUCGAUAGGAUGUGUAUUUAGGAAGGAAGGCAUUACUAGUUUUUAAGGCAUGUAUACCCCUUAAAUAGACAGUGACACAUUGUUUUCUUAAGUGAUUGUACCAAGCAUAAUGUUAUCUUUAAGAUUCUUUACCAUGACUUCAAAUAUUUGCUAAAAGUUUCUUGAAAGUAAAAAACAAAGUAGUUAUACUAUGGUAUUGGAUUUUAUUUUAAAAUUAAUUUAAAACUUGCAUCAAGAAAUAAAGGAUGAAAACCCAUUCUUUUUAAAUUAUUGUUUUGAAAUCAUUGUUUCUUCUCCGUGGUGGAUGAUAUGAAUUAUGUACCAUAACUACUAUUGAAUGAUUGAACUUAUAAGCAAUUAUUCAUGUGGUUUCAUUUCUCCAAAAUAUCAUUUGAUUUUAUCACAGAACUUUUUAAAGAUAUAUGUUGUGGGGUAGAAGGUGUAGCUUGGUGGUAGAGGCUCUGGGUUCAAGUCUUAGCAUCUCCCAAAUAUAGCCAGACCCUGUUUCAAAAAUGGCUAGGGAUAUAGCUCCAUGGUAGAAUGCCCCUGGGCUCAAUCCCCAGAACCACAAAAUUAUUUUAUUAUUUAAUUAUUAAUAAUAUUGAGUCAAUUUGGUAUUUAAUAAUUUAAAUAAAGUUUAUAGGUAUUUAAAUCACCUUUUAUUGUUAUUACCAAUGAUUGAUCAUUAAGUAUUUUGAACAUGCAUCUUGUAAUUUUUGAGGUAGAUUCCAAGCUAUAAAAUUAUAUUUCCAAAAUAUGCAAGCAUAAAGCUUGAUAGUAUUACAAAAUUACCCUCCAAAAAGUUGUUUCAGUUAACAUUCCUAUCAAAUGCUAUUUUCCAACACUGUGUAUUAUCAGGAUAUUUUGUGUUUACCGUUCUCAUAGUUGAAAAAUAAGAUUGUUUACAUUUAUUUAAUCAUGAAUAAAGGUAAGUAUG